GAUAAAUGAACUUUCGCCUAAAUGCAUUGUGGGUUUAUUUUAACAUGUUCGCUAUUUGCGUUUUGAAUUGUUUGAUUUAAACUCUCCCAGAUGUUCGUGGAUUUUGAUGAUAUGGAUUUUAGAUGACUUCGAGACAUGUACAGUUUUGCAGUUUCUUCAUAUCACAUACAUCUCCAGCUCCUACAACAACAUUCAGUGUCCAGCAGCUCUUUAUGAUGCUCUCUCUCUCUCUCUCUCUCUCUCUCUUUCUCUCUCACUCUCUCUCUCUCUCUCUCUCUCUCUCUCUCUCUCUCUCUCUCAUUUUCCUUUCCUAUUUUUCUGAACUGUAAUUCAUAAAUAAGUCACACAUAUUUUUCUUUCUUUCUCUUGUUCAUCAUGGCAUAUUUUCACAGCUCAGAAUCAGAUUUUGAUCAGUUCUUGUAUUAACAGGGAACUUGUACUCGAAGCUCAACUUGAAGAAGUUUCCAGUGAAGAUGAAGUCCUUCAAAGGUUCGACACAGCUGAAAAGGAAGACCAUGGGCCUGUCAAACCUUGUUUGUGGAGAGGGAUGAAUUUGACCAUCUUGUGUGUUUACGGAGAAGACCAAAAGCUGCUAAGGCAGAUAUUUCCAGAGGUACAAACAGAGCGGAUGGUUGCAUGAUGGCCUCUUUCAGGUUUGUCAACUGAAUGUCUACUAGUGUGGCUCAGCAAGUUCCUGUCAUGAUCAGCCCUCUCCAAGAAAGCUGAAGAGCAAAAACACAAAGAACAUCAGUCCUGUUGGGGAUGAGGAAUGAACAUGGCUCUAUUGUGCCCAAACAGAAAAGAGUGAAAAGUCCUAGAAUGAACAAAUCAUCAGGGCAUCAUUUCUGGAAUUUGGGCAGAAAAUGACUGAAUAUGAAAGACUGCAGUAGAAGGAAAGCUGGUACUGAGAACAUUUGUCUUCACUCCAGACUAAAGAGAAGCGGGUCUGAGGCCAGAGAUGGAGGAGUCAAUGGUCACCAAAUGCAGCGCUGCAGCCUGAAACUGUGAAGACUGAAUUCCCAAACAGCUGUGUGACUGCACAGAUGUUACGGCCAUAAAAGAAACUUCACAACUGAGAGCCCAUACCUCCAACAACCUUCAACAGGAAUCAAUGGACAUCUACGCAAGGUUUUUCUUUUGUUGAGGACCGUCAGAGACUCCAGCCACACGAGCCAUGGAUUGCUCUCAACAUCACCAUCAGACAGACAUUAUCACAGAACCAGCACCAGCAGACUGCAAAACAAGUUCCUUCAACAGGCAAUCAGACUGAACUGAACUCGUACCAGUAACACCACACACACACACACACACACACACACACACACAUACACAUACACACACCAGCAGCCUCAUACUGUGUGCACUGCACUCUAUCAGCUACACUGACUGGACUCUGACUCACUAUUAUUCUGCAACCUGAUAUUCUGUUUGCACUAAUUCAUACUGUACUGAAAGUGAAAGUGACGUGACAUACAGUCAAGUAUGGUGACCCAUACUCAGAAUUUGUGCUCUGCAUUUAACCCAUCCGAAGUGCACACACACAGAGCAGUGAACACACACACACUGUGAACACACACCCGGAGCAGUGGGCAGAGGUAUAUCUACAGUAUACAGUG
Molecule: long non-coding RNA, 1616 nt
Organism: Carassius gibelio (silver crucian carp)
Lineage: Eukaryota; Metazoa; Chordata; Actinopteri; Cypriniformes; Cyprinidae
Exons: 8
Source: RefSeq, a predicted model, not a curated record